GGGUUUGCUGCCUAGAUACUAUAGUAAGGAACUCUGUAGAAACAGAUAAGAGUUCCUGGGAGCAAUCAUAUAUCUUGAGGCUGUCUAAGAAACACAAAGCAAAUCCAGGCUUUCGGUUGGCUGAAGAAUGGAGUUUUGAUGGCUGAAAAAGGUACUGUCUCUGAGGAGAGUAUCUUCCACCAUUUGACCCUCUUACCAACAUCAUCUGUAGCUUGCAGUGUUUGUGCAGUCAUCACAGUCCCGUAAAGAUUUGAAAGUUUUAAGGAUGUUCAUGGACCUCCUCUGAGAGUUUCUUCUCAUGAGAGUUUAACUUCAUUUGAGAUCACUUGGUGUUCCAUGCAUGGGGUGGCUACAGAACUGAGUCCUCUAUGACUGAAGAUAUGGGCAUUGGAAGACUCUCUCUUUAACAGUGAUAUAGUUCUUCACACAUUUUCUAAUCUCUGAAAGUACUCUCUGCAUUGGGUGGGAAGUGUGGCACUGCAAAGUAAGAAGGUGGUUGUCCUGUGAAAACCAUCUUACAGGGCCAAGAAGUAAGAUGUGCAGGGAUUGACUAGAACAGGUGAGUGUGUGGAAGGACCGAAGUGAUGGAGCUGCUUUUAUCCUCUGUGGAGUAAGGAAGCUGUUUACUUUCUCCAGCAUACUGUUAAUCAGGCAUCAUGUCAGAUGCUCACUUCCUCCAAUUUAACCUGCUUGUAGUGCACAGAAUCGUAUGGAGGGUGAGAGGUCUUUAAAAACAAAAACAAAACCCCCCCACAAAAACUAAAAGAUUGCCUUCCCUGAUAUCAUCAUUAAGGACCCAUCAUCAUGCAGACUCCACCCCUAGGAGGGGGAGGGAUGAAAGGCUGCAUAUGCCACUGCAUAUGUCCAGCUCAGUUUCUCUCGCUGAGCGCUGGUGCGAGGAUUUGGCACAUAUUGCAUGCAGUCUUGAGAAACUUUUGAAUCUCUUUUUUAAAUUUUGUUUUUUUUAAAUGUGGUGUCAGGGCCUGGGAAGUUAAACAUAAGAAAUACAUUAAAUACUGUUAGACAUGAUUUUUAAAAAAUACCAUAACCAAAAAGUUCCAAGUCAAAAUUUCCAAUCAGAUCCAUCCUGCUUUUCUUACUGUAACAACUGCUACCAUUCAGAUCCCUAAAAUUACCCUCUGUUAAGAUAAUCUCUGCAUUCAUUAUUGGAUACAACAAGAUGGAUUCAGGACACAGGUGAUUCACCCCAUACUUAGCAUUUUGGUAGAUUUUGCCAGUAGACCUGAUGUCAAUACAAGUUGUAUACAACUUAAUAGGAAAUUACUUUGGUUGUUGCUUAGUCCCUGCCUUCCACCCUUCCCCCCCCCCCCCCUUCUGCCUACUACAGAAAUUGACCUGUGUGGUUACUGAAUAGUUGUGUGGUUUUUUGUUUAUAUUUUUUGUAAAGAAGAGUUAUUGCUUCAAGUCUGCUUUAAAGCUGACGCUAAUUAUACUAAAUAAAAAAUGUAACAAUGCAAUCUGACUUUCUUAAAGAUAAUCAACUAAAAUCAAGGGCCUGAGCUAGCAUUUUGUGUUCAGGCAAAACUCUCAUCGACUGCAGUGUGGGAGUCUUGCCUGAUUAAAGGUAUGCAAUACUGGGCCCCAAAUUAUAAAAUCAUCUCAUACAUUCAUUGUAAUGAGAGCUUGGAAGACUGUUAAUCCAAAAAUAAAAUUAUAUGAACAAAUCA
Long non-coding RNA from Dermochelys coriacea (leatherback sea turtle), 1688 nucleotides. RefSeq lists it as uncharacterized. The record is from RefSeq and is a predicted model, not a curated record. Lineage: Eukaryota; Metazoa; Chordata; Testudines; Dermochelyidae. The transcript has 6 exons.